This 869-nucleotide ribosomal RNA is filed under the name uncultured archaeon. RNAcentral's name for it is "bacterial SSU rRNA". It matches the Rfam family "Archaeal small subunit ribosomal RNA", at positions 1 to 878 of the family's 1478-position model. The record is from RNAcentral.
CUCCGGUUGAUCCUGCCGGACCUGACUGCUAUCGGAUUGGUACUAAGCCAUGCGAGUCAUUGUAGCAAUACAAGGCGGACGGCUCAGUAACACGUAGUCAACCUAACUCGUGGACGUGGAUAACCUCGGGAAACUGAGAAUAAACCACGAUAGAUCAUAGUGCCUGGAAUGGCUUAUGGUCCAAACAGUUUACUGCCAUGGGAUGGGACUGCGGCCUAUCAGCUUGUUGGUGAGGUAAUGGCCCACCAAGGCGAUUACAGGUACGGGCUCUGAGAGGAGAAGCCCGGAGAUGGGUACUGAGACACGGACCCAGGCCCUAUGGGGCGCAGCAGGCGAGAAACCUUAGCAAUGUGCGAAAGCACGACUGGGUCAGUCCGAGUGAUUCCUGAUAAAGGAGUCUUUUGCUUGUCCUAAAAGCACAGGUGAAUAAGGGGUGGGCAAGUCUGGUGUCAGCCGCCGCGGUAAUACCAGCACCUCGAGUGGUCAGGACGUUUAUUGGGCCUAAAGCAUCCGUAGCCGGCUCUGCAAGUCUUCGGUUAAAUCCACCUGCUCAACAGAUGGGCUGCUGGAGAUACUACAGAGCUAGGGAGUGGGAGAGGCAGACGGUAUUCAGUGGGUAGGGGUAAAAUCCUCUGAUCCAUUGAGGACCACCAGUGGCGAAGGCGGUCUGCCAGAACACGUUCGACGGUGAGGGAUGAAAGCUGGGGGAGCAAACCGGAUUAGAUACCCGGGUAGUCCCAGCUGUAAACGAUGCAAACUCGGUGAUGCAUUGGCUUAUGGCCAAUGCAGUGCCGCAGGGAAGCCGUUAAGUUUGCAGCCUGGGAAGUACGGACGCAAGUCUGAAACUAAAGCAUUAAAGGGGGGGAGCA